UACGUAGGGGGCGAGCGUUGUCCGGAUUUAUUGGGCGUAAAGAGCUCGUAGGCGGCUGUUCGAGUCGGGUGUGAAAUCCUGAGGCUUAACCUUGGGUCUGCAUUCGAUACUGGGCGGCUUGAGUCUGGUAGGGGGAUCUGGAAUUCCUGGUGUAGCGGUGGAAUGCGCAGAUAUCAGGAGGAACACCGGUGGCGAAGGCGGCGACCUGGGUAGAUACUGACGCUGAGGUGCGAAAGCGUGGGGAGCAAACAGG
This 253-nucleotide ribosomal RNA is filed under the name uncultured bacterium. RNAcentral describes it as "partial 16S ribosomal RNA". It matches the Rfam family "Bacterial small subunit ribosomal RNA", at positions 524 to 776 of the family's 1533-position model. The record is from RNAcentral.